Long non-coding RNA from Stegastes partitus (bicolor damselfish), 405 nucleotides. RefSeq lists it as uncharacterized. Lineage: Eukaryota; Metazoa; Chordata; Actinopteri; Pomacentridae. The transcript has 5 exons. The record is from RefSeq and is a predicted model, not a curated record.
AUGCUUCUGGUGACGUGUUUGUCCUCUUUCCACAGGUGUCUUACUACAGUUUGGCUCCACACUUUCUGUUCGCUGUAAAGUCGAACACACUGGUAAUGGGACGUGUUACAGAGUCCCCGAGUUCAAUGGAACCAACUGUGAUUACACCUGGAGCAACAGCACUAACCACGUGCUGGCUCAUAGUCUGGUUGAUGAGGUGAGCGAGCUGGUGGUGAAGAGGACCGACUCGGCUCUAGAGACCAAAGAGUGCGUAGAGAAGAUCCGCUACAGACAAGACUGCCAGGAACAGACCCGUGAAGCGGUUUGUUACACCUGCUGCACUGAACCUGAGAAAAAUGCAGCCACUGCUCAGCCGUUCGUCUACCGGGGCCCUGCAUGCUGCUGCAGAGGACGCUGGUGGCGUCU